Molecule: long non-coding RNA, 482 nt
Filed under: Vulpes vulpes (red fox)
Lineage: Eukaryota; Metazoa; Chordata; Mammalia; Carnivora; Canidae
Description: lncRNA (ENSVVUG00000014207.1)
Source: RNAcentral
UUCCGGUUCUAUAUGUUAAUAGGUUUUACAUAGUUACCCCUCCCCCAGCUCUUUGUUGCCUUUCUGUGUCUCAUUCUAUUCUAACUCAUGUUUAUCUUUUAGUUCAACUCUUUGUAACAUCCCUGCAUAUCAGGAAUCUUGUCUUAUUGGUGUCUACAGAGCUCUAGGGGCCACUGAAGAAAAUGUCUCUGGUGGACUCUGGCAACCUUCAGCUGAAAUUUCUAUCCAAGAGGAUCCAGGGUGUCCAAGAAAAUAAAGAGAAGGGAUCCCUGGGUGGCGCAGCGGUUCGGCGCCUGCCUUUGGCCCGGGGCGCGAUCCUGGAGACCCGAGAUCGAAUCCCACGUCGGGCUCCCGGUGCAUGGAGCCUGCUUCUCCCUCUGCCUAUGUCUCUGCUUCUCUCUCUCUCACUGUGUGCCNCUCUGUGACUCAUAUAUAAAAAAAAAAUUUAAAAAAAAAGAAAAUAAAGAGAAGGGAGGAGGCCA